Molecule: ribosomal RNA, 1322 nt
Filed under: Bacillus aerius
Lineage: Bacteria; Bacillati; Bacillota; Bacilli; Caryophanales; Bacillaceae
Description: bacterial SSU rRNA
Rfam family: Bacterial small subunit ribosomal RNA
Source: RNAcentral
CUAUACAUGCAAGUCGAGCGGACAGAAGGGAGCUUGCUCCCGGAUGUUAGCGGCGGACGGGUGAGUAACACGUGGGUAACCUGCCUGUAAGACUGGGAUAACUCCGGGAAACCGGAGCUAAUACCGGAUAGUUCCUUGAACCGCAUGGUUCAAGGAUGAAAGACGGUUUCGGCUGUCACUUACAGAUGGACCCGCGGCGCAUUAGCUAGUUGGUGAGGUAACGGCUCACCAAGGCGACGAUGCGUAGCCGACCUGAGAGGGUGAUCGGCCACACUGGGACUGAGACACGGCCCAGACUCCUACGGGAGGCAGCAGUAGGGAAUCUUCCGCAAUGGACGAAAGUCUGACGGAGCAACGCCGCGUGAGUGAUGAAGGUUUUCGGAUCGUAAAGCUCUGUUGUUAGGGAAGAACAAGUGCAAGAGUAACUGCUUGCACCUUGACGGUACCUAACCAGAAAGCCACGGCUAACUACGUGCCAGCAGCCGCGGUAAUACGUAGGUGGCAAGCGUUGUCCGGAAUUAUUGGGCGUAAAGGGCUCGCAGGCGGUUUCUUAAGUCUGAUGUGAAAGCCCCCGGCUCAACCGGGGAGGGUCAUUGGAAACUGGGAAACUUGAGUGCAGAAGAGGAGAGUGGAAUUCCACGUGUAGCGGUGAAAUGCGUAGAGAUGUGGAGGAACACCAGUGGCGAAGGCGACUCUCUGGUCUGUAACUGACGCUGAGGAGCGAAAGCGUGGGGAGCGAACAGGAUUAGAUACCCUGGUAGUCCACGCCGUAAACGAUGAGUGCUAAGUGUUAGGGGGUUUCCGCCCCUUAGUGCUGCAGCUAACGCAUUAAGCACUCCGCCUGGGGAGUACGGUCGCAAGACUGAAACUCAAAGGAAUUGACGGGGGCCCGCACAAGCGGUGGAGCAUGUGGUUUAAUUCGAAGCAACGCGAAGAACCUUACCAGGUCUUGACAUCCUCUGACAACCCUAGAGAUAGGGCUUUCCCUUCGGGGACAGAGUGACAGGUGGUGCAUGGUUGUCGUCAGCUCGUGUCGUGAGAUGUUGGGUUAAGUCCCGCAACGAGCGCAACCCUUGAUCUUAGUUGCCAGCAUUCAGUUGGGCACUCUAAGGUGACUGCCGGUGACAAACCGGAGGAAGGUGGGGAUGACGUCAAAUCAUCAUGCCCCUUAUGACCUGGGCUACACACGUGCUACAAUGGACAGAACAAAGGGCUGCGAGACCGCAAGGUUUAGCCAAUCCCACAAAUCUGUUCUCAGUUCGGAUCGCAGUCUGCAACUCGACUGCGUGAAGCUGGAAUCGCUAGUAAUCGCGGAUCAGCAU